CAAACUAAAUAAAUGCUUAGUAAACCUGUUAACUAAAUUUCCAAAGAAAAUGUACACCACAACUGGACAAACACGACAUUUGCUCAGACUUCAGGAAACAGAUAAUCCCCAGGAAGAUCUGGAGCAAAAAUCAAUUACUUAAUUUGAUUUCAUAUUCAGGAAGAAGAGUUAGAUCCAUGGAACCUUAUACAUUAGGACCAUAGGAAAAUCUGUGUGGGAAGAGAUGUGAGGAGG
Molecule: long non-coding RNA, 234 nt
Organism: Catharus ustulatus (Swainson's thrush)
Lineage: Eukaryota; Metazoa; Chordata; Aves; Passeriformes; Turdidae
Exons: 3
Source: RefSeq, a predicted model, not a curated record